Long non-coding RNA from Dendroctonus ponderosae (mountain pine beetle), 622 nucleotides. RefSeq lists it as uncharacterized. The record is from RefSeq and is a predicted model, not a curated record. NCBI's taxonomy places the organism in Eukaryota, Metazoa, Arthropoda, Insecta, Coleoptera, Curculionidae. The transcript has 3 exons.
ACCAUUUCCGGGGUAAUUUGGCACGAAAACCCUUUAAUAUUAGAGAUAUAUUUUAUGCUGUCGCCAAACAUAAAAAUCAGACGCAUGAAACGAUUUACAUAAAAAUCAGAUAUUUACUCAAAGAUCAGAAAGCUAGAGAUCGGCCGCAUUAUAUUACACCUUUUCUGAGCUUUACAUCGCACCGCGUCCAAUAAAAGAAUUAUAUUCUUCGGAAACAUUGCAUUCCCAACGAUCCCGGCAAACGCAUCGACGCGUCCCAACGUUAUCGUCGCUAGACGGUUUACGUCGUUUUCUUAGUUUUCUUCACAAAGUUGAAUCAGUAGCUCGUCUAGAAAUGAACAAUGAAGUUGAACCAGGGGCAGCCCCUAAUAGUCUUCCCAUUUCCUUAAACACCCCAGUGGCGUCUGGCGACGGGUCAAUCGUGUUCGAGGCAUCCACUCAAACACCAACGUCCGAAGUCCUGGAUGAGCCGAUUUUCACCAAUAAAGCCUGCAGCCUAAAGAAAUCUGGUCACAGCGUGUCUGCUUUAGAGAAUAUUCAUCGAAUGAGACACCAUGGACAGGUAAAAAAUAUUAAGUCUUUAAGUGUGCAAUAGCAGAAGAAUUUUAGAAGAGAAGAAUUU